UAUCUCAGGCAUAGGCCCUCCCGAUGUUUGGGACUACAAUUCCCAUCAUCUCUAACUAACAGGACCAAUGGUUAGGGAUGAUGGGAAUUGUAGUCCCAAACAUCUGGAGGGCUGGAGUUUGCCUAUGCCUGAUCUA
Podarcis lilfordi (Lilford's wall lizard) is the source of this 136-nucleotide non-coding RNA. Lineage: Eukaryota; Metazoa; Chordata; Lepidosauria; Squamata; Lacertidae. The record is from the annotation of a GenBank genome assembly.